Molecule: ribosomal RNA, 111 nt
Filed under: Caerostris extrusa
Lineage: Eukaryota; Metazoa; Arthropoda; Arachnida; Araneae; Araneidae
Source: RNAcentral
ACGGCCACACCAUGCUGAAUAUACAGGUUCUCGUUAGAUCACCGAAGUCAAGAAUCAUUGGGCGCGGUCAGUACUUGGGUGGGUGACCACCUGAGAACACCGCGUGCCGUU